This 473-nucleotide ribosomal RNA is filed under the name uncultured bacterium. Its description in RNAcentral is "bacterial SSU rRNA". It matches the Rfam family "Bacterial small subunit ribosomal RNA", at positions 328 to 793 of the family's 1533-position model. The record is from RNAcentral.
CGCUAUCACUCCUACGGGGAGGCAGCAGUGGGGAAUAUUGCACAAUGGGCGCAAGCCUGAUGCAGCCAUGCCGCGUGUAUGAAGAAGGCCUUCGGGUUGUAAAGUACUUUCAGCAGUGAGGAAGGUGGGUAUGUUAAUAGCAUAUCAUUUGAAGUUAGCUGCAGAAGAAGCACCGGCUAACUCCGUGCCAGCAGCCGCGGUAAUACGGAGGGUGCGAGCGUUAAUCGGAAUUACUGGGCGUAAAGCGCAUGCAGGUGGUUUGUUAAGUCAGAUGUGAAAGCCCGGGGCUCAACCUCGGAAUUGCAUUUGAAACUGGCAAACUAGAGUACUGUAGAGGGGGGUAGAAUUUCAGGUGUAGCGGUGAAAUGCGUAGAGAUCUGAAGGAAUACCGGUGGCGAAGGCGGCCCCCUGGACAGAUACUGACACUCAGAUGCGAAAGCGUGGGGAGCAAACAGGAUUAGAUACCCUGGUAG